Molecule: long non-coding RNA, 478 nt
Organism: Mustela lutreola (European mink)
Lineage: Eukaryota; Metazoa; Chordata; Mammalia; Carnivora; Mustelidae
Exons: 3
Source: RefSeq, a predicted model, not a curated record
CUCACCGAUGAAGAGGAUGGGGAAAGUGAUGAAGAGCAGGAAGACAUGCGGCACCACGUUGAGAGCAUCCACGAAGCAACCGUUGUUGAGGACGCCCUUGUCCACCCGGUGCUUACACACCCUCCGUCCCACCAGCUGGAGCCUAGAACUGCCCAGAAGGGACCUGACCGCGGGAUUCCUGCUCGGGCCUGGAAAGGUGAGGGGCCCAAGGCUUCUCCUUCGAGGCCAUCGAUUCCUUCACAAAAGACCCAGGAGUAGACUUCUGGUUUUGGAAGAAGAAAUCACUAAUGAGGGAGCUCCAGCCUGUUUGGUACCCGCAUGGAUUCAUCUCUUGGUCAAGAAGAAGUCAGAAGCUGGCUCGUAAUGUGAGCUUGUACCCCACCUCAUUCUCCAUCCAGAGGCAGUGGAAGCCAGAGGAGACAGCCCUUAUCUGAUCCUCUGGAGAUGCCCUGGAGGGGUCCCAAGGGGCUUACCAGGA